GACGAACGCUGGCGGCGUGCUUAACACAUGCAAGUCGAACGGAAAGGCCCUGCUUUUGUGGGGUGCUCGAGUGGCGAACGGGUGAGUAACACGUGAGUAACCUGCCCUUGACUUUGGGAUAACUUCAGGAAACUGGGGCUAAUACCGGAUAGGAGCUCCUGCUGCAUGGUGGGGGUUGGAAAGUCUCGGCGGUUGGGGAUGGACUCGCGGCUUAUCAGCUUGUUGGUGGGGUAGUGGCUUACCAAGGCUUUGACGGGUAGCCGGCCUGAGAGGGUGACCGGCCACAUUGGGACUGAGGUACGCACCAGACUCCUACGGGAGGCAGCAGUGGGGAAUAUUGCACAAUGGGCGGAAGCCUGUUGCAGCAACGCCGCGUGCGGGAUGACGGCCUUCGGGUUGUGAACCGCUUUCGCCUGUGACGAAGCGUGAGUGACGGUAAUGGGUGAAGAAGCACCGGCUAACUACGUG
RNAcentral lists this ribosomal RNA (468 nucleotides) under uncultured bacterium. RNAcentral's name for it is "partial 16S ribosomal RNA". It matches the Rfam family "Bacterial small subunit ribosomal RNA", at positions 28 to 507 of the family's 1533-position model. The record is from RNAcentral.